CUCCUCGCUUCCUCCUCCAGAUCUUCUCUUGCUUUGGAGUGUCCAAGUUGCUUGAAGAAGAAGGAAGAAGCCAGCUGUCAAAGUUGCUUGCAGGCUAGCACCUCCAAGUCCCUGAUCUGUGUCAGUCUUUGCAUGAAUUUUUCUGUAGAGGUCAGAUGACUUCAUGUGGUUGUGAGUGAUCUGAGGAACAUCCUCUCCAAGUGUUGGACCAGAGA
This 215-nucleotide long non-coding RNA is filed under the name Elaeis guineensis (African oil palm). RNAcentral describes it as "long non-coding RNA (EGUI_LNC061421)". The record is from RNAcentral. Lineage: Eukaryota; Viridiplantae; Streptophyta; Magnoliopsida; Arecales; Arecaceae.